ACAACAACAACAACAACAACAACGACGACAAAUGAAGCUAACGAGGAAGCGUCAAGACCUGCAGUUCCUCCAACAUCCAGCAGAGGCAGCAGGAUGUGGUCCAGCAGGGUCUCACCAGUUCAGAGCGAAGUCUCUCCACCUCCUGGGUCUGAUCCAACAGCUUCUCCUCCAGCUCCUCCACCUGCAAAUGCCAAAGAACAUCAUUAAAAGGCUCAGCUGCAGAUCGGAUUCGGAUUAGCCUUCAGUCUCUGCUGAAUGUCACGACACGGAUUCGAUCGUCGGGAUCUUUCCGUAACGUGUCGCUGAGCAUGAAGCUGCAGAUCGGACCGGCAGCUUCGUUUUGUUGAUGUAAUAAAUCUGUCAACGUUUCUGACUCACUUUACGUUUGAUGCCAACAUGCAGACGUCAGCCGGACAGCUAAGAAAAGACCUGGAAAUAUUCAGUUACACACCUUCGAGUGUUCAGAGCCUGAACACACAGAAACACACAGCUUUGGAUUUACUGUCCUGAGGAUAAUCUCAUCUCUGAUCGGAAUAAACUCGAACUUAAAGAUCCUUCACCUGAAUAUUCAUGUUGUUACGUUUUGUUCAGUACUGCAGCAGAUUCAGUAACAGCUGUCUGUAAAUCCACUAAAUGCUGCAAACAGGAGCUUCUAAACAAAUAUCGGAGCUCAGCCUGCAGACCGUCGUGUUACUCACCGACUACAAGCUAGCUGAUAUCGUAUGUUUGUGUCCCCCUAAAGCAUUGUGGGAAGUGUCAGGCGGGUUUCCUGCAG
Molecule: long non-coding RNA, 775 nt
Organism: Oreochromis niloticus (Nile tilapia)
Lineage: Eukaryota; Metazoa; Chordata; Actinopteri; Cichliformes; Cichlidae
Exons: 3
Source: RefSeq, a predicted model, not a curated record